CACUUUAGUUCUGACAAGAUGAUUGAGCCAACUACUCUUCAGGGUCGAAGGAGACUUACAAAAGGUGCCGUAGCGCCCAUUUGUGAGUGGAACCAGUAUACAGUCGAAACCCCAAGGCGCGGCGUGUGGGAGAGAGUGGAUCAGUUCGUCGAAACUGCCCCUCCGGAAGAUGAAGUUGAUCUCCUUUUCAACGAUCAAGACUACUGCUCUGUCCCUGAACCGGCUGCCAUGGAUAUGCCCGCAUCCGCUGCUGAAAGCGUCUCAAAUGAAGUACAGGAGCUGAGAAAGGAGCUACAGGAGUUACGUCUCCAGCGAGAGUUUGUACUGCAGCGGUCUGCUGGCUCCGACGCAGACAUCCAAAUUUACAUUUACAUUUAGGGCAUUUAGCAGAUGCUUUUAUCCAAAGCGACUUACAAUAAGUACAUUUGUCAUAAGAAGUGCAAAAAUAUAUCGCUGUCGGUACAGAAAGGAUGUUCAUAAAACCUGGCAUUUACACAAGGGAAGUCACUUUUUCACAGUCACAUUUUUUGUAUUAGCCUAUGUCAUUAGCCUAGUCCCUACGUGACGGGGAUAUGUGUCAGGCAGGGACAUUGUUGGUAAGAAAAUAGCUUUACGUUACAGAUUAAUAGUAUUAUUAUUUCUUAAUAGGUCUAUGUGAAUGAUAAAUAGCACACAAGUAGUGGCAUGUUGAGAGAUGGUGUAAUUGGAGUUGGGGAUUAUCAGAAUUUAUAUACAUGAAUGUGACCGCACCAAUAGUACAGAAACAAACAACAUUUAUAAUACAGAUUUGUGUAAAGACUUGCAGAGACGUGUUUCCAGUUCAAGUCUACAAAAGUUUAUUUUUAAAUAGUUGAAAAAAGUCAUGUUAUUCUAUGAGAUGAAAAUAGGAGCACUGAAGCGACAGCGCCAGAAUGUGACCGUCUCCAACUCCACCAAUGCUGGUCCUAGAACAAAAAUACUAUUAAUAAACAAUUGGAAAAUGUAUGAAUUGAUAACACCCUACUUAUCUGCAUGCAAGUACACACGGCAAACCACCAAACCGCGCCUCCCAAAGAUAUGGCCCGGACAGGAACAAUACUCUAAAAAGAAAGAGACCACAUUAGGGCAUUGGAUAUCCAGACACAUCAGGUCGUCUUACAGGAAGUUGGGGUAGUUAUUGAACUGCACCCAAAGAGGCUACACAAUACACAUGCAUAUAUAUACGAUAAAAUCUUAGUAGUUACUGUUGACAUUAUUUUGGUAACAAUGUAUACUUUUGAUGUACACUUUUAAUUGACAUUUUUUAUGUGAUGUAUUUUGUGAAUAGAUUUGCCAGCUACAACCACCUGAUGGCUUUUUUGGUCUUUGAUUGAGCCUUGUCUCUACAAGAUGGUCCGUGUCUCCAGAGCCAAAUCAGCUGCCCAG
Gadus macrocephalus (Pacific cod) is the source of this 1404-nucleotide long non-coding RNA. RefSeq lists it as uncharacterized. The record is from RefSeq and is a predicted model, not a curated record. The transcript is spliced from 2 exons. Lineage: Eukaryota; Metazoa; Chordata; Actinopteri; Gadiformes; Gadidae.